GACGAACGCUGGCGGCGUGCUUAACACAUGCAAGUCGAACGGAGAGGCCCUGCUUUUGUGGGUUGCUCGAGUGGCGAACGGGUGAGUAACACGUGAGUAACCUGCCCUUGACGUUGGGAUAACUUCAGGAAACUGGGGCUAAUACCGGAUAGGAGCUCCUGCUGCAUGGUGGGGGUUGGAAAGUUUCGGCGGUUGGGGAUGGACUCGCGGCUUAUCAGCUUGUUGGUGGGGUAGUGGCUUACCAAGGCGUUGAUGGGUAGCCGGCCUGAGAGGGUGACCGGCAAAAUUGGGACUGAGAUACGGCCCAGACUCCUACGGGAGGCAGCAGUGGGGAAUAUUGCACAAUGGGCGGAAGCCUGAUGCAGCAAUGCCGCGUGCGGGAUGAAGGCCUUCGGGUUAUAAACCGAUUUCGCCUGUGACGAAGCGUGAGUGACGGUAAUGGGUAAAGAAGCAACGGCUAACUACGUG
RNAcentral lists this ribosomal RNA (468 nucleotides) under uncultured bacterium. Its description in RNAcentral is "partial 16S ribosomal RNA". It matches the Rfam family "Bacterial small subunit ribosomal RNA", at positions 28 to 507 of the family's 1533-position model. The record is from RNAcentral.